CCUGAGGCAGCAACGCCCGGUGAGUGAUGAAGGCCUGCGGGUCGUAAAACUCUGGCCUCAAGGAAGAUAAGGACGGUACGUGAGGAGGAAGCCCCGGCUAACUACUGGCCAGCGUCCGCGUGAAUACGUAGGGGGCUAGCGUUAUCCGGAUUUACUGGGCGUAAAGGGUGCGUAGGCGGUCGUUCAAGUCAGGAGUGAAAGGCUACGGCUCAACCGGAGUAAGCUCUGGAAACUGGGAGACUUGAGUGCAGGAGAGGAGAGUGGAAUUCCUAGUGUAGCGGUGAAAUGCGUAGGUAUUAGGAGGAACACCAGUUGCGACGGCGGCUCUCUGGACUGAUACUGACGUUGCGUUACGAAAGCGGGAGGAGCAACCAGGAUUAGAUACCCUGGUAGUCCACGCUGGAAACGAUGAGUACUAGGUGUCGGGGGUUAC
RNAcentral lists this ribosomal RNA (433 nucleotides) under Clostridioides difficile. RNAcentral's name for it is "bacterial SSU rRNA". It matches the Rfam family "Bacterial small subunit ribosomal RNA", at positions 382 to 833 of the family's 1533-position model. Lineage: Bacteria; Bacillati; Bacillota; Clostridia; Peptostreptococcales; Peptostreptococcaceae. The record is from RNAcentral.